This 329-nucleotide ribosomal RNA is filed under the name uncultured eukaryote. Its description in RNAcentral is "partial 18S ribosomal RNA". It matches the Rfam family "Eukaryotic small subunit ribosomal RNA", at positions 1470 to 1796 of the family's 1831-position model. The record is from RNAcentral.
CCCUUAGAUGUUCUGGGCCGCACGCGCGCUACACUGACGGGGACAACGAGUUUGCAACCUGCGCCGGUAGGUGUGGGUAAUCUUUUGAGCCCUCGUCGUGCUGGGGCUAGAUCUUUGUAAUUUUCGAUCUCAAACGAGGAAUUCCUAGUAAGCGUGAUUCAUCAGAUCGCGUUGAUUACGUCCCUGCCCUUUGUACACACCGCCCGUCGCUACUACCGAUUGAACGUUUUAGUGAGGUACUCGGACUGAGCCUCAGAAGAUUCACGUCUUUUGUGCUGCUCGGGAAGAUUCCCAAACUUGAGCGUUUAGAGGAAGUAAAAGUCGUAACA